CUUACCUGGGUUUGACCAGGAUCGGGAGUGAUCAGAGAUGGGUGUGCCUCUUUUGGGGUCCGUUCACAGGUGGUGCAUGGCUGUCGUCAGCUCGUGUCGUGAGAUGUUGGGUUAAGUCCCGCAACGAGCGCAACCCUUGUUCACUGUUGCCACCACGUUAUGGUGGGGACUCAGUGGAGACCGCCGGGGUCAACUCGGAGGAAGGUGGGGAUGACGUCAAGUCAUCAUGCCCCUUAUGUCCAGGGCUUCACGCAUGCUACAAUGGCUGGUACAGAGAGUGGCGAGCCUGUGAGGGUGAGCGAAUCUCGGAAAGCCGGUCUCAGUUCGGAUUGGGGUCUGCAACUCGACCUCAUGAAGUUGGAGUCGCUAGUAAUCGCAGAUCAG
RNAcentral lists this ribosomal RNA (384 nucleotides) under uncultured bacterium. RNAcentral describes it as "bacterial SSU rRNA". It matches the Rfam family "Bacterial small subunit ribosomal RNA", at positions 970 to 1352 of the family's 1533-position model. The record is from RNAcentral.